RNAcentral lists this ribosomal RNA (500 nucleotides) under uncultured Glomeromycotina. Its description in RNAcentral is "partial small subunit ribosomal RNA". It matches the Rfam family "Eukaryotic small subunit ribosomal RNA", at positions 591 to 1092 of the family's 1831-position model. The record is from RNAcentral. Lineage: Eukaryota; Fungi; Glomeromycota.
CCAAUAGCGUAUAUUAAAGUUGUUGCAGUUAAAAAGCUCGUAGUUGAAUUUCGGGAUCAGUUCGCUGGUCGUGCCUUUGGUAUGUACUGGUGUUACUGGUUCCUACCUUCUGACGAACCGUCAUGUCAUUAAUUUGGUGUGGCGGGAAAUCAGGACUGUUACUUUGAAAAAAUUAGAGUGUUUAAAGCAGGCUCGCGCUUGAAUACAUUAGCAUGGAAUAAUGAAAUAGGACGUUCGAUCCUAUUUUGUUGGUUUCUAGGAUUGACGUAAUGAUUAAUAGGGAUAGUUGGGGGCAUUAGUAUUCAAUUGUCAGAGGUGAAAUUCUUGGAUUUAUUGAAGACUAACUACUGCGAAAGCAUUUGCCAAGGAUGUUUUCAUUAAUCAAGAACGAAAGUUAGGGGAUCGAAGACGAUCAGAUACCGUCGUAGUCUUAACCAUAAACUAUGCCGACUAGGGAUCGGAUGAUGUUAAUUUUUUAAUGACUCAUUCGGCGCCUUACG